UACGAAGGGGGCUAGCGUUGCUCGGAAUCACUGGGCGUAAAGCGCACGUAGGCGGGUUCUUAAGUCAGGGGUGAAAUCCUGGAGCUCAACUCCAGAACUGCCUUUGAUACUGGGAAUCUCGAGUCCGGGAGAGGUGAGUGGAACUGCGAGUGUAGAGGUGAAAUGCGUAGAGAUCCGGAGGAACACCAGAGGCGAAGGCGGCCUACUGGGUCAGUACUGACGCUGAGCCGCGAAAGCCAGGGGAGCGAACGGG
This 253-nucleotide ribosomal RNA is filed under the name uncultured bacterium. Its description in RNAcentral is "partial 16S ribosomal RNA". It matches the Rfam family "Bacterial small subunit ribosomal RNA", at positions 524 to 776 of the family's 1533-position model. The record is from RNAcentral.